This is an unclassified non-coding RNA of Macaca fascicularis (crab-eating macaque), 151 nucleotides long. It matches the Rfam family "Metazoan signal recognition particle RNA". Rfam says of the family: The signal recognition particle (SRP) is a universally conserved ribonucleoprotein. It is involved in the co-translational targeting of proteins to membranes. The record is from Ensembl. NCBI's taxonomy places the organism in Eukaryota, Metazoa, Chordata, Mammalia, Primates, Cercopithecidae.
GCCGGGUGUGGUGGUGUGCACCUGUAGUCCCAGCUGCUCGGGAGGCUGAGGCAGUAGAAUCGCUUGAACCCAGGAGACAGAGGUUGCAGCAGUGAGCCAAGAUCACGCCACUGCACUCCAGCCUGGGUGACAGAGCGAGAUUCUGUCUCAA